GGAUUUAUAUUGCAGUCCCGUAGGAAGACUUGAUCGAAAUCGACGUAUUUUGACCAGUAUUUGCGAUAUCUGGACAAUCCAAUCUCAAGCCAGGGUUUCAGAUUACCAUUGUAGUGUAUGACAGAUGCCCUCCGGAUAUCCUUCUCAUUGAUGUUUGGGUUGUACCCAAGUCCCAACUGAUGCCAGGAGUGAUGAAGAGGGAAGGUACGGUUCCAAAAUGUUACGAGACCAGCAGGAAGAGUACCUAGCUUCCACAAUAUCCUAUUUUCGUUCUGCAGAAAUCAGAUAUCAAUAAACGUCAGUAAUCUUUUGUCUUCUCCACUCAGAUAGAUCGAACACAUUCAUGCCAUACGCCCAACCGCAGGCACGCGGGUCAAAAUUGCUGGCAAUAAGAGGAUUUGAGAAGUUGAGGUACUUAUCAAACCUAUGAAAGGUCUCUCCACAGGUCUCAACAGCACCAUUAACCUUGCCUUUUAGAUCAAUGGACCAAAUCGCACUUAAGUCCUGCUGUACUACAGUGUCAUCAUCCAGGAAUAACACCUUGCUAAGCUUCGGGAAGAUUUCAGGGAGAUAAAACCUCAGAUGAUUGAGCAUUGACAAGUACUUGGGGUUCCGGAACUUGGGAUUUUCAUCACGCCUGGCCUGCCCACUCUUGAAGUAGUAAUCAAUCAUAGACUGUGAUUCUAGCUGCUUCAUAACUGGACUGUAGGUAGAAUUCAGCCAUGUAAACUCUUCAAUGUUUUGAACCUGAAUGGCUGCUUCACCCAAGGGAUUAGCCAAGAACCACAUCUUCAUUGCAGCAUAGUUAAGCCUAUCCGUGACAAUGUGGAAGACAUGAUCUGCUGGUUUCUGCAUUUAAAUAAAUGGAGUUUACAACCACUGCAGCAGCCAACACAUUAUCUGAGAACAACGCAUAGUGAUAGAGUUUUGGAUCUUCCAACUUUUCUAUAUGUGGGAAUUUUUUAUUGUUGGAGUUGGUGUAGUAGUACUCAUUUGUAAGCCGCAGCGGAAGGCAAUGAAGUCCUUUUGGUAAAGAUUUUGCUGCUACUUGUGCUAGAUAGUUGGUUUCCUUUUUAUGAGAUUGGAGUCGCUCCUCUGUUGAGUGAAGGGUUGCACGGAGCCUGUUCAGAGCACCCGAGCAACUAUCAAGAAUUCUCUUUCCCUUUCCCAAUGUUUGCUCCAUUGCUCUUAUUUUGCUAAAGUACUUCUGAGGAAGCUGGCCACCACUGGUUGCAUCACCUAGGACUCUUUGGAUAUCCCUCAUCCGUGCACGAAGCUCCCUUGCAAAACCAUGAUUGCCUCUAGAAGCUACAAGGCUCAGAUAUGUCGUUGCUCUCGUCAACUGGUCCUUGAUUGUGCGGAUGGUAGCGUCUGGGGAAGUAGUGGAAUGACCAGCACUAACACUUGUUGGGAGAGCAGAAUUACUGUUAGUUGUUGGUGUGUAA
RNAcentral lists this small RNA (1445 nucleotides) under Oryza sativa Japonica Group (Japanese rice). RNAcentral's name for it is "sRNA Os09g0480466". The record is from RNAcentral. Lineage: Eukaryota; Viridiplantae; Streptophyta; Magnoliopsida; Poales; Poaceae.